RNAcentral lists this long non-coding RNA (268 nucleotides) under Lathyrus oleraceus (garden pea). Its description in RNAcentral is "Pisum sativum (pea) long non-coding RNA (PSAT_LNC031611)". The record is from RNAcentral. Lineage: Eukaryota; Viridiplantae; Streptophyta; Magnoliopsida; Fabales; Fabaceae.
AUUACUUCAUUUGCAAGUAAGUGACUUUGUGCACACAUGUUAUUUGAGCAUCUUGGAAUCAACAGCCGUUAGCCUUGGUCCGUCCCACACCCGGUCUAAAGAGUUCUCUAACAACACAUAAUCCUUUUCUUAUCACCCAUAGCUCUUGCCAAGAGUGCAAUAAAUCAAACCUUGAAAACACUUGACCUAGCCAAGGGAAACCACAUGACAGCCAUGCUACUGCAGGCAGUUCAUGUUACAACUUGCUUCGCCUUGCCCAUUACCUUCC